This 388-nucleotide ribosomal RNA is filed under the name uncultured bacterium. RNAcentral's name for it is "bacterial SSU rRNA". It matches the Rfam family "Bacterial small subunit ribosomal RNA", at positions 338 to 720 of the family's 1533-position model. The record is from RNAcentral.
CCUACGGGAGGCAGCAGUGGGGAAUAUUGGACAAUGGGCGAAAGCCUGAUCCAGCCAUGCCGCGUGUGUGAAGAAGGUCUUCGGAUUGUAAAGCACUUUAAGUUGGGAGGAAGGGCAGUUACCUAAUACGUAUCUGUUUUGACGUUACCGACAGAAUAAGCACCGGCUAACUCUGUGCCAGCAGCCGCGGUAAUACAGAGGGUGCAAGCGUUAAUCGGAAUUACUGGGCGUAAAGCGCGCGUAGGUGGUUUGUAAGUUGGAUGUGAAAUCCCCGGGCUCAACCUGGGAACUGCAUUCAAAACUGACAAGCUAGAGUAUGGUAGAGGGUGGUGGAAUUUCCUGUGUAGCGGUGAAAUGCGUAGAUAUAGGAGGAACACCAGUUGGNGAG